UACAGGUUGAGCAACUCAAAGCGAAGGCCAGAGUGGUAUAUUCCAGUGGAUGAAGAGGAAGAGCGAAGGAGAUGGAGCUAAGUAACGAGUGAAUGUUGACCUUCAAAAGUGUUGUUUAUGCAGGGUUUAGGCCUCUCAUGGAGCAUGCUUGUGUUGCACCAGGGAUCUGGCUUGAAGUUUACCUCAUUUUCUUUAAUUUCAAGGAAUUGAACUCUCACUUGUCAACCUCUUAAAAGCUACAAUGUCUAGGUUUGAUAGGUUGUACUAUCAAUUAGAAUAACAGGAUUAGAUUUAGCAAAAAUUUUUAGGGGUUGAUAAUUUUGAAUUACUUGGUUUUUAAUCACUUGUUGAUGCUCAAGUGGUUUAAUAACUAAAUUAAAAACGUUGAAUCUUUGAUAUGUUGGAAUAGAAGCUUGCCACUGUAAUUGCAAUGCAAUUGAUGUUGACAACAUCUCCCUGUGCUUGCAACAAGUUGGACUUUGAGUUUGGGAAGCAAAGGUAAAUAAAGCGUGUUUGACAUUGAGGUUGGAAGGUG
This 535-nucleotide unclassified non-coding RNA is filed under the name Hevea brasiliensis (rubber tree). Lineage: Eukaryota; Viridiplantae; Streptophyta; Magnoliopsida; Malpighiales; Euphorbiaceae. The record is from RNAcentral.